AAAAAAGAGAAAAAUCCCAAAUUUACAGUAUAGUUUGACACGAAAAAAACAACACUUAACAUAAUAUAAAAUUUUCUUAUAUUAACACCUACCAAUAGUUUUAGAAAAUUUUGGCUCCUCAGAGGUGUAAAUCCUUAAAAAUAAAGCUACAAAAAAUAUAUAAGUAUCAUAGCUUACACAUGAAAUUUAUUAACCAUAUACACAUGUAUGCAAUUGCGAUCUAUAUCUGAAUUAUGUCGUUGCAACCAAUAUUUGAACAAUGUUGUUGCGACCAAUAUUUGAACAAUGUUGUUGCGACCAAUAUUUGAACAAUGGUGUUGCGACCAAUAUCUGAACAAUCUUGUUGCUACCAAUAUCUGAACAACAAUCCAUGUUCUAUUCCUACUUGAUAAAACCAAUGUGUGUAAAUAUGUUUUUUGAGAGUUGUAAAUGUUUCAGUACGGUUUUCUGUGGCAGUUGAAGUAGACAACUUGGUCUAGCGAUGUUCUUAA
This 491-nucleotide long non-coding RNA is filed under the name Mytilus galloprovincialis (Mediterranean mussel). Lineage: Eukaryota; Metazoa; Mollusca; Bivalvia; Mytilida; Mytilidae. The record is from RNAcentral.